This 329-nucleotide ribosomal RNA is filed under the name uncultured fungus. RNAcentral's name for it is "eukaryotic LSU rRNA". The stretch from base 1 to 71 matches the Rfam family "5.8S ribosomal RNA", at positions 84 to 154 of the family's 154-position model. The record is from RNAcentral. Lineage: Eukaryota; Fungi.
GUGAGUCAUCGAAUCUUUGAACGCACCUUGCGCUCCUUGGUAUUCCGAGGAGCAUGCCUGUUUGAGUGUCUUGAAGUCAUCAACCCCUCCCGUUUUUCGAGACGGUGGACGGUUGGAGCUGGGGGCAUGCGACCGAGAGGUCGCUCCCCUCAAAUGCAUCGGUUUGGGCCUGUGGGUUCGAACUCGAUUGGGCGUUGUACCAUCCUCGCUCUCUACAACGAGUUCGUCCCGCUGCUUGUGCCCCUCCAUCGACCGCCUGCGGAGUGGCGGUCAAAAGCAAACUUUUUGAAAUCUGACCUCUAAAUCAGGUAAGGCUCCCACUGAACUUA